Long non-coding RNA from Puntigrus tetrazona (Sumatra barb), 330 nucleotides. RefSeq lists it as uncharacterized. The record is from RefSeq and is a predicted model, not a curated record. NCBI's taxonomy places the organism in Eukaryota, Metazoa, Chordata, Actinopteri, Cypriniformes, Cyprinidae. The transcript is spliced from 4 exons.
GUGCCCCUCAUCAGCCUGAGGAAGAGAGGACAGAUGAGGCAGGGUCUUCCUCUGGUGUUCACACACGUAGUGGAGAUUGUGGAGAAGCACGCGUUCCUUCUGGCCCCACCAUGUUUGAAGAACAGGGACAGUGUACUGCUUUGAUAGAGCACCUGCUGGACAACCUGAUCCACCUGCUGCCAAACAUGUACCCUCAUGCAUCCACCAGUAACUCAGCAGACGAUAGCAAAUGGACUAAUGAAGAGUGUGUCCCACAAUUGCCGCUCUCAGAGACCAAAUUAAAGAUGCCUAAAAUUGGAAGACUUGGGCGACUAAGAAAAAGAAUGAGAG